UAGUAGGUCAUGGGUAAUCUUCAGCUCCAUUUCCGUAACCGGCUUCCGUCAUGGCAUCCACACCUACAAGCGGAGCGUACUGCUCUGCUAUAAUUUGCUCGAAUCGCCAAUGUAGGCGACCUGACCUGUCUUUCAUCAGGUUCUCCACUAAAAACGAAAGAUGUCGACAGUGUGUCCAGAAUACUCAUCGACAAGAUCUCCUACACCGAACUACGGAGUACUUGUCAAAGAACUGCCGUCAUUGGUUAGCUGAUAUGCGAAACACUGCAACCCUGUAUAUCUCGCACACAAAACAAUGUCAACUAUGUAAAUCUUACCAUGAAUGACCGAAAUAAAAAGUGUUAUACUUGUU
Molecule: long non-coding RNA, 352 nt
Organism: Amblyraja radiata (thorny skate)
Lineage: Eukaryota; Metazoa; Chordata; Chondrichthyes; Rajiformes; Rajidae
Exons: 2
Source: RefSeq, a predicted model, not a curated record